Cyprinus carpio (common carp) is the source of this 1864-nucleotide long non-coding RNA. Lineage: Eukaryota; Metazoa; Chordata; Actinopteri; Cypriniformes; Cyprinidae. The record is from Ensembl.
CAAAUUUUGAGCAGUGUACAGUAGCACUUGUUGUUUAUCAUUUCUCCGAUCACAAAUGCAGACAUGGUUUUAUGUUUACGUGGCGCAAUAUGCGACGCAACGGGUAAAAAGACAGUGUCCCCAGUGGAUGCAACAAAUGGCUCGUUUGUAAUGGGUUUUAUUGUUUUUGUCCUGUCAUGCCGGUGUUCUGACCAGGACACACCAUAACAGUAUAUGUUGAGGGGCGUAACAUUUCCGUCAGACGCUUGAAACAUUUGGCCAAUCACAAUGCACUGGAUAGCUGGCCAAUCAGAGCACAACUCGCUUUUCAGACCGAUGAGCUUUGUAAAAAACGAUGCGUUUCAGAAGGCGGGGCAUAGAGAAGAAACAAUAAUGUACAUUAUGUGAAAAAUAAUGUGUUUUGUUAACCUUAAACCGCAUAAACACAUUUCAUUACACCAAAUACACAAAAUAAUGUUCUUUUUAGCAACAUCAUAUGACCCCUUUAAGUUAUCUAGCAUGUUUGCAGGCAUGACGUUAAUCUUAAGGAACUUAGCAUUUGGUGGCAUAUUGGUUGGCCAGGACAGCAAAGAAAUAUGUCAUGCCAAAGACAAACGUGUCUUCUCAUUCAAAACCUUUCAGAUGUGUUAACAUUACAGGCUGGGGAAGCAUUAGCCAGGACAAACUCAAUGUCAAUGAUGUCAAGGAGCCGCGGCAGAAUAAAAGCUUUGCGAAACCAGCCCAUCUAAAUGCCUCUAGGGCUCUUAUCGACUUCUCUGAUAUAUGUGCAGGUAAUGUGUGAAAAAAUGACAGCUACUAUUGCAGAUGUGGCAAGGACGUGGUAUGUAUCUUGAAUAAAAAUAUGCAUCGCAUUAACCUUUGAUUGAAUGUUCAUAUUAUUGCACAGUUAAUCUCUGCCAUGCAAUAAUGGUUGAGUAUGUGUGCAUGACCAGCCCAUACAGUCGAUGACUCAUCGUGCAGAUGAACUAUCUGAAACCACAGUGUUGUGGACUUCAUCCGCUGCACUGCAUGGCUGCUGGGGUUCUGUUAGGCAUGCAGAGAGGGGAAUCCCGCCUAAGACGGAGCGUGCAUGAGCAUUUCUGCGGCUGCGCGGAUGUUCCCGAACAGCAGACCAUUAAUGAGGAUGACUCAUCCCUAGAAACCCCACUGGAUGGGUGCGGAGUCCAAACCUUCUGCAAGUUCUGCUUAGUAAGACUUCACUGGCCUUCUUCUAAUGAGCUGCAGUGGAACCAGCUCCAGCAAACCCAACGGUCCAACCUAUCAGGAAGUAAUCACCACUCUAAUCAGCCAUAAAGAUGAUGUCUCAGCAUAGACAACAGGUGCAAUGUAGCUGAUCGGUAUUCCGGUGGGACAAGACUUCCUUCCCAGAGAGAAUGCACGGUAAGCAGUUCACCAUCAGACCUGAUGUGAGCCCUGGAGUGAUUACAUUCAAAUGUAUUCAGAAAAUCCACAUGAGAAGGAUGAACAGUGACUCAACGUCAAUAUACGUGGAAAUCUGCAAAGAGUACAUGGAGAUUAAACCAGAACACAUGGCUUGUUUGCUUUAUGCUUUUUAAUAAGCUGAGACAUUGAUUAAAGUGCUCCAUAUCCAUUGAUAUGCAGUGAAAACGCAAAGCAAAUGCAAACAAAUGUUCUCCAUUCCUAAUAUAUACAGUAUAUCUACGGACAUACAACUAUUUUGAAAAGAAAAAAUGUAAAAAUGGCAUUAAGGCAUGUUUUUGCAGCAUUUUACUUUUUUUUAAGUCACUUUGGAUAUAAUUCUAGUCUUAGAAUUCAACUACUAACUGUUUUUUUUUAUGUUUGCAUUUAUCUAUCCACUUUAGUUUCAAACCAAUAAAUGUUUUUAUCCGGCCGUGUAAGAACA